RNAcentral lists this ribosomal RNA (2923 nucleotides) under Staphylococcus aureus. RNAcentral's name for it is "23S ribosomal RNA". It matches the Rfam family "Bacterial large subunit ribosomal RNA". Lineage: Bacteria; Bacillati; Bacillota; Bacilli; Caryophanales; Staphylococcaceae. The record is from RNAcentral.
GAUUAAGUUAUUAAGGGCGCACGGUGGAUGCCUUGGCACUAGAAGCCGAUGAAGGACGUUACUAACGACGAUAUGCUUUGGGGAGCUGUAAGUAAGCUUUGAUCCAGAGAUUUCCGAAUGGGGAAACCCAGCAUGAGUUAUGUCAUGUUAUCGAUAUGUGAAUACAUAGCAUAUCAGAAGGCACACCCGGAGAACUGAAACAUCUUAGUACCCGGAGGAAGAGAAAGAAAAUUCGAUUCCCUUAGUAGCGGCGAGCGAAACGGGAAGAGCCCAAACCAACAAGCUUGCUUGUUGGGGUUGUAGGACACUCUAUACGGAGUUACAAAGGACGACAUUAGACGAAUCAUCUGGAAAGAUGAAUCAAAGAAGGUAAUAAUCCUGUAGUCGAAAAUGUUGUCUCUCUUGAGUGGAUCCUGAGUACGACGGAGCACGUGAAAUUCCGUCGGAAUCUGGGAGGACCAUCUCCUAAGGCUAAAUACUCUCUAGUGACCGAUAGUGAACCAGUACCGUGAGGGAAAGGUGAAAAGCACCCCGGAAGGGGAGUGAAAUAGAACCUGAAACCGUGUGCUUACAAGUAGUCAGAGCCCGUUAAUGGGUGAUGGCGUGCCUUUUGUAGAAUGAACCGGCGAGUUACGAUUUGAUGCAAGGUUAAGCAGUAAAUGUGGAGCCGUAGCGAAAGCGAGUCUGAAUAGGGCGUUUAGUAUUUGGUCGUAGACCCGAAACCAGGUGAUCUACCCUUGGUCAGGUUGAAGUUCAGGUAACACUGAAUGGAGGACCGAACCGACUUACGUUGAAAAGUGAGCGGAUGAACUGAGGGUAGCGGAGAAAUUCCAAUCGAACCUGGAGAUAGCUGGUUCUCUCCGAAAUAGCUUUAGGGCUAGCCUCAAGUGAUGAUUAUUGGAGGUAGAGCACUGUUUGGACGAGGGGCCCCUCUCGGGUUACCGAAUUCAGACAAACUCCGAAUGCCAAUUAAUUUAACUUGGGAGUCAGAACAUGGGUGAUAAGGUCCGUGUUCGAAAGGGAAACAGCCCAGACCACCAGCUAAGGUCCCAAAAUAUAUGUUAAGUGGAAAAGGAUGUGGCGUUGCCCAGACAACUAGGAUGUUGGCUUAGAAGCAGCCAUCAUUUAAAGAGUGCGUAAUAGCUCACUAGUCGAGUGACACUGCGCCGAAAAUGUACCGGGGCUAAACAUAUUACCGAAGCUGUGGAUUGUCCUUUGGACAAUGGUAGGAGAGCGUUCUAAGGGCGUUGAAACAUGAUCGUAAGGACAUGUGGAGCGCUUAGAAGUGAGAAUGCCGGUGUGAGUAGCGAAAGACGGGUGAGAAUCCCGUCCACCGAUUGACUAAGGUUUCCAGAGGAAGGCUCGUCCGCUCUGGGUUAGUCGGGUCCUAAGCUGAGGCCGACAGGCGUAGGCGAUGGAUAACAGGUUGAUAUUCCUGUACCACCUAUAAUCGUUUUAAUCGAUGGGGGGACGCAGUAGGAUAGGCGAAGCGUGCGAUUGGAUUGCACGUCUAAGCAGUAAGGCUGAGUAUUAGGCAAAUCCGGUACUCAUUAAGGCUGAGCUGUGAUGGGGAGAAGACAUUGUGUCUUCGAGUCGUUGAUUUCACACUGCCGAGAAAAGCCUCUAGAUAGAAAAUAGGUGCCCGUACCGCAAACCGACACAGGUAGUCAAGAUGAGAAUUCUAAGGUGAGCGAGCGAACUCUCGUUAAGGAACUCGGCAAAAUGACCCCGUAACUUCGGGAGAAGGGGUGCUCUUUAGGGUUAACGCCCAGAAGAGCCGCAGUGAAUAGGCCCAAGCGACUGUUUAUCAAAAACACAGGUCUCUGCUAAACCGUAAGGUGAUGUAUAGGGGCUGACGCCUGCCCGGUGCUGGAAGGUUAAGAGGAGUGGUUAGCUUCUGCGAAGCUACGAAUCGAAGCCCCAGUAAACGGCGGCCGUAACUAUAACGGUCCUAAGGUAGCGAAAUUCCUUGUCGGGUAAGUUCCGACCCGCACGAAAGGCGUAACGAUUUGGGCACUGUCUCAACGAGAGACUCGGUGAAAUCAUAGUACCUGUGAAGAUGCAGGUUACCCGCGACAGGACGGAAAGACCCCGUGGAGCUUUACUGUAGCCUGAUAUUGAAAUUCGGCACAGCUUGUACAGGAUAGGUAGGAGCCUUUGAAACGUGAGCGCUAGCUUACGUGGAGGCGCUGGUGGGAUACUACCCUAGCUGUGUUGGCUUUCUAACCCGCACCACUUAUCGUGGUGGGAGACAGUGUCAGGCGGGCAGUUUGACUGGGGCGGUCGCCUCCUAAAAGGUAACGGAGGCGCUCAAAGGUUCCCUCAGAAUGGUUGGAAAUCAUUCAUAGAGUGUAAAGGCAUAAGGGAGCUUGACUGCGAGACCUACAAGUCGAGCAGGGUCGAAAGACGGACUUAGUGAUCCGGUGGUUCCGCAUGGAAGGGCCAUCGCUCAACGGAUAAAAGCUACCCCGGGGAUAACAGGCUUAUCUCCCCCAAGAGUUCACAUCGACGGGGAGGUUUGGCACCUCGAUGUCGGCUCAUCGCAUCCUGGGGCUGUAGUCGGUCCCAAGGGUUGGGCUGUUCGCCCAUUAAAGCGGUACGCGAGCUGGGUUCAGAACGUCGUGAGACAGUUCGGUCCCUAUCCGUCGUGGGCGUAGGAAAUUUGAGAGGAGCUGUCCUUAGUACGAGAGGACCGGGAUGGACAUACCUCUGGUGUACCAGUUGUCGUGCCAACGGCAUAGCUGGGUAGCUAUGUGUGGACGGGAUAAGUGCUGAAAGCAUCUAAGCAUGAAGCCCCCCUCAAGAUGAGAUUUCCCAACUUCGGUUAUAAGAUCCCUCAAAGAUGAUGAGGUUAAUAGGUUCGAGGUGGAAGCAUGGUGACAUGUGGAGCUGACGAAUACUAAUCGAUCGAAGACUUAAUCAA